Long non-coding RNA from Hibiscus syriacus, 772 nucleotides. RefSeq lists it as uncharacterized. The record is from RefSeq and is a predicted model, not a curated record. Lineage: Eukaryota; Viridiplantae; Streptophyta; Magnoliopsida; Malvales; Malvaceae. The transcript has 6 exons.
AGACAUUCUUAAUGUCACCUAAAAUCCCUAAAGCUUAUACUUCUCCCUCUUACCUAAAUCUGACUCUGGUUCUCUUUGGAUUUUCUAUUUCAACAAGUGUUUUCAAGCUUCCUUGUUGGAUGAUUGUGGGUUGGUAGCAAAGAAAUGAGUGGAGUAAAAAGGACUACCUCAGCUAAAGUGAGAUUGAGGAGCUUAUUGAAUCAAACUGAUAACCGCACUUGUGCUGAUUGCAGUCUCGAGAUCCAAAGUGGGCAUCAGCAAAUAUUGGAGUCUUUUUAUGCUUGAAAUGUUGCGGUGUGCACAGAAGCCUUGGUCCACACAUCUCCAAGGUUCUAUCUGUGACAUUGGAUGAAUGGUCUGAUGAAGAAAUUGAGGCCAUGAUUGAAGUUGGUGGAAAUUCUGCUGCUAAUUCAAUCUAUGAGGCUUAUAUAACUGAAGGUUAUAAAAAGCCUGGUCCAAAUGCUAGUAAUGAUGAGCGGAGUAGAUUCAUUAAGGCCAAGUAUGAACAACAAGAAUUUGUGAAAGCUAGCUUGUGGAUCACAUCAGGAAGGGAUUCUUCUUCUUCUUCUUCUAAUCAAUCAAACCUUUCUGGAAAGAUUCUUGAUACUAUCCUGUCAAAUUCAUCACAGAAUUCGGUAAAUUCUUAUGUUCUUUGUUUCUUCCAAUCUGAUUGAUGGUCUUGGGAACAAGGAAGUUCAUGCUGCUACUGAUUUUAAGAGAAUAUGGUCACUUGUUGAGUAGCAUGAACUGAACAUUACAUGGGAUUCUUUUA